UACGAAGGGGGCUAGCGUUGCUCGGAAUCACUGGGCGUAAAGGGUGCGUAGGCGGGUCUUUAAGUCGGGGGUGAAAUCCUGGAGCUCAACUCCAGAACUGCCUUUGAUACUGAAGAUCUCGAGUCCGGGAGAGGUGAGUGGAACUGCGAGUGUAGAGGUGAAAUUCGUAGAUAUUCGCAAGAACACCAGUGGCGAAGGCGGCUCACUGGCCCGGUACUGACGCUGAGGCACGAAAGCGUGGGGAGCAAACAGG
RNAcentral lists this ribosomal RNA (253 nucleotides) under uncultured bacterium. RNAcentral describes it as "partial 16S ribosomal RNA". It matches the Rfam family "Bacterial small subunit ribosomal RNA", at positions 524 to 776 of the family's 1533-position model. The record is from RNAcentral.